GCCAUCCAAGACGACGAGCUCAUCUCCUACAUCAUCCAUGGGUUGGAGGUCGACUACCAGCCCCUCAUCUCCACCCUCGAUGCACGCGUCACGCCGGUCUCCCUCGACGAACUCUAUGCUAUGUUGAGCAACUUCGAUC
Molecule: small nucleolar RNA, 139 nt
Filed under: Triticum aestivum (bread wheat)
Lineage: Eukaryota; Viridiplantae; Streptophyta; Magnoliopsida; Poales; Poaceae
Also listed under: 1 other name
Description: Small nucleolar RNA Z247
Rfam family: Small nucleolar RNA Z247
About the family: Z247 is a member of the C/D class of snoRNA which contain the C (UGAUGA) and D (CUGA) box motifs. Most of the members of the box C/D family function in directing site-specific 2'-O-methylation of substrate RNAs.
Source: Rfam by way of RNAcentral